CCUACGGGAGGCUGCAGUGGGGAAUAUUGCGCAAUGGGCGAAAGCCUGACGCAGCGACGCCGCGUGAGGGAUGAAGGUCUUCGGAUCGUAAACCUCUGUCAGCAGGGAAGAACGGUCACUGUGCUAAUCAGCAGUGAAUUGACGGUACCUGCAAAGGACGCACCGGCUAACUCCGGGCCAGCCGCCGCGGUAAUACGGAGGGUUCGGGAGUUAAUCGGAAUUACUGGGCGUAAAGGGAUCGUAGGCGGUAUGUCAAGUUAAGGGUGAAAUCCCCGCGCUCAACGUGGGAAUUGCCUUUGAAACUGGCAAACUGGAGUGUGCGGGAGGAAGGCGGAAUUCCAGGUGUAGGAGUGAAAUGCGUAGAUA
This 366-nucleotide ribosomal RNA is filed under the name uncultured bacterium. RNAcentral describes it as "partial 16S ribosomal RNA". It matches the Rfam family "Bacterial small subunit ribosomal RNA", at positions 338 to 696 of the family's 1533-position model. The record is from RNAcentral.